This 195-nucleotide ribosomal RNA is filed under the name uncultured bacterium. Its description in RNAcentral is "partial 16S ribosomal RNA". It matches the Rfam family "Bacterial small subunit ribosomal RNA", at positions 1308 to 1500 of the family's 1533-position model. The record is from RNAcentral.
CAACUCGACUACAUGAAGCUGGAAUCGCUAGUAAUCGCGAAUCAGCAUGUCGCGGUGAAUACGUUCCCGGGUCUUGUACACACCGCCCGUCACACCAUGGGAGUUGGUAACGCCCGAAGCCAGUGACCCAACCGGAAACGGAGGGAGCUGUCGAAGGUGGGACCGAUAACUGGGGUGAAGUCGUAACAAGGUAAC